GCUGGGCAUGGUGGUGCACGCCUGUAAUCCCAGCUACCUGGGAAGCUGAGGCACAAGAAUCACUUGAACCCAGGAGGUGGAGGUUGCAGUGAGCCAAGACUGCGCCACUGCACUCCAGUCUGGGUGACAGAGUGAGACUGUGUCUCAC
RNAcentral lists this non-coding RNA (148 nucleotides) under Chlorocebus sabaeus (green monkey). The record is from Rfam by way of RNAcentral. Lineage: Eukaryota; Metazoa; Chordata; Mammalia; Primates; Cercopithecidae.